Molecule: ribosomal RNA, 253 nt
Filed under: uncultured bacterium
Lineage: Bacteria
Description: partial 16S ribosomal RNA
Rfam family: Bacterial small subunit ribosomal RNA
Source: RNAcentral
UACGUAGGGGGCAAGCGUUAUCCGGAUUUACUGGGUGUAAAGGGAGCGUAGACGGCAGUGCAAGUCUGGAGUGAAAGGCGGGGGCUCAACCCCCGGACUGCUCUGGAAACUGUUCAACUUGAGUGCAGAAGGGGAGAGUGGAAUUCCAUGUGUAGCGGUGGAAUGCGUAGAUAUAUGGAGGAACACCGGUGGCGAAAGCGGCUCUCUGGUCUGUAACUGACGCUGAGGCUCGAAAGCGUGGGUAGCGAACAGG